GCCAUUGCCCACCCUGCGUCGACCUCUAUCCAAGUUGCUCUUGUAGACCUUCUAGCUUCUUGGAACAUUUAUCCAGCUCGUGUUGUUGGCCAUUCCUCGGGUGAAAUCGCUGCGGCUUAUUGCGCUGGUAAAAUAUCUAGGGAGUCUGCGUGGGGAGCUGCCUACUACCGCGGCUUUGUCUCUGCAAAGCAACAAGGUGUUAAAGGUGCUAUGAUUGCCGUUGGUUUAAGUCAGGAAAAGUUACAGGUGAAUAUGGACAAAGUACAUGCGACUCACAAAGGGGAGUUAGUCGUUGCGUGUUACAAUAGCCCGAGAAACAAUACCGUCUCUGGCGACGAAGUGAUGAUCGACGCGCUGAAAGAGUUGCUUGAUGCGGAAGACAUUUUCGCACGCAAGCUCAAAGUCCAGAAUGCCUACCACUCAUCCCAUAUGCAGCAACUUGCUGAAGAAUAUCUGGAACUGAUGGGUUUCCCCCCUCCCGGACAAUUCCUCGAUUGCAAUCGCAGCAUCCAGAUGUUCUCCACAAUUUCAGGGAAGAGGAUCGAAGAAGUUGAGCUUGCAACCUCUUAUUGGGCUGAUAAUAUGGUUUCGCCAGUCCGUUUCACUGAUGGUUUACUUGCUAUGCUCUUCCACCCAAAUGAUAGCGAUAUCGAACCCCGUCAAUUCGACCAACCUUGGAUAGAUGAAAUAAUUGAAGUAGGUCCACACUCUGCAUUGCAAAGUGCGAUCAAGCAGACCAUCGCUGCCACUCCCUCCCCACCUCCAGUUUCGUACACAUCUCUCCUUAAUCGUCAAGACCCUAGUAUCCGUACCAUGAUGGGUGCUAUCGGAAGCCUAAUUGGCAAAGCAGCCCCAGUCAAUAUUUAUGAAGUCAAUCAUGGUUUCAUGGGACAAAAGGAAAAUGAGCGGAGCCCACAGUUGCUUGUCAGCCUUCCUCCAUACUCCUUCAACCAUGACGAAAAAGGUUACUACGAAAGUAGACUGAGCAAAAAGAUACGUUUCCGAGAAUUCCCACGGCAUCAACUUUUUGGUGCGCCCGUCCAGGACUGGAACAGACAGAAUCGCAAAUGGCGCCAUUUCCUCAGAACUUAUGAAAAUCCUUGGCUAAAAGAGCACAUGGUCACUGGACGUUGCGUUCUUCCUGCAGCUGCAUAUUUGACAAUGGUGACUGAGGCGGUAAGGCAAGUCACAGGUGAUGCAGUCAAACUAACUGGAAUAAGGUUGAGGAAUGUGUCCAUAAAAUCUGCUCUUGUGGUUCCAGAUACAAGAGAGGGCGUGGAGGUGUCCUUAUCCAUUCACCCCGUGAACGAAUCGAACAAUUGGGAGUCUACCGUGUGGAAGUGGUUCCAGGUGUCCUCUUACAUCUCGGCCCAUGACGAUUGGAUAGAACAUUGUUCAGGCUAUUUUUCCGUCCAAUACGUAGCCUCUCCGGAUCCAAUCGACAAUGGCCGUGAGGCUGAAGCGGUUACCCAGGCUUGGAA
Molecule: small RNA, 1481 nt
Filed under: Histoplasma capsulatum
Lineage: Eukaryota; Fungi; Ascomycota; Eurotiomycetes; Onygenales; Ajellomycetaceae
Also listed under: 1 other name
Description: hypothetical RNA
Source: RNAcentral